CUACGGGGCGCAGCAGUGAGGAAUAUUGCACAAUGGGGGGAACCCUGAUGCAGCAACGCCGCGUGGAGGAUGACGCAUUUCGGUGUGUAAACUCCCUUUAUAUGUCAAGAAAAUGACGGUAGCAUAUGAAUAAGCACCGGCUAACUCCGUGCCAGCAGCCGCGGUAAUACGGAGGGUGCAAGCGUUACUCGGAAUCACUGGGCGUAAAGGACGCGUAGGCGGGUUGGAAAGUCAGGUGUGAAAUCCUACAGCUUAACUGUAGAACUGCACUUGAAACUUCUAAUCUAGAGUAUGGGAGGGGGAGAUGGAAUUAGUGGUGUAGUGGUAAAAUCCGUAGAUAUCACUAGGAAUACCUAAAGCGAAGGCGAUCUCCUGGAACAUUACUGACGCUAAGGCGUGAAAGCGUGGGGAGCAAACAGGAUUAGAUACCCCGGUAGUC
This 439-nucleotide ribosomal RNA is filed under the name uncultured bacterium. RNAcentral describes it as "partial 16S ribosomal RNA". It matches the Rfam family "Bacterial small subunit ribosomal RNA", at positions 339 to 795 of the family's 1533-position model. The record is from RNAcentral.